UCUCUCUCUCUCUCUCUCUCGGUCCCAUGUCUUUGUUGCUCUCUCCUGGUUGGUUUGGUGCCUAUAUUUAGAGGGCAAUAGCUGGGGGUGCAAGUCCAACCCCACAUUCUCCUCCUUCCACUCUGAAAAUCCCACACACACAAGAAAAAAAGAAAAAGAAAACCCCACAAAGUAUUAGGCUUUACCCCUUUAAAUCCCUAAGUUUAACCCUCUGGAGUCUGGUUUGCUUGUUUUAUGCCCAUUCAAAUGGGUCUUCCUCUAUGCCUGUGGGGCUUUGAAACUCCAUUUUGAUUAUGACCCAGUUCCCAUCAUUAUCCCAUUUUUCGCUCCCCUCUUCUCUCUCCUCAAUAUAUGACCCUCUCUCUCUCUCUCUCUCUCUCUCUCUCUCUCUCUCUUCUCUCUCUUCUCUCUCAAUCUCCACCACUGCAACCUCUCCUUGUCUUACCCUCUAUAGCCAUGGCAAAGCUUCUCCGAUCUAGCUUUCCCUACAAAAUCUUUUUCACUCCAAGUCCAUGCAUAAUUUGCUCUCCCUCAAAAACCCAUGUCGCAUACAAAAUAACUCAUUUUUAUAGCAUACAUAUGCAUAGUAUUCAUAUUCAAGGAGGGUAGGAUGUUGGGUUAGCAUUAGAUUAGGUUUUAGGAUUGAAUAUUUUCUAAAAACCCUAGCUGGUAGAUAUGUAAGAAAUACCUCAUCAAUUGACCCAUGUAGGUUUUGUUAAUUAGUGGCAUAUAUUUAUAGCUAGCUAGCAUGAUUCACGCAUGCAUACAUAUGCAUAUAUGUAUAUAUAUGUGCCUGGCUCCCUGUAUGCCAUUUGCAGAGUCCCACCGAACAUCGAUGGCCUCUGUGGAUGGCGUAUGAGGAGCCAAGCAUAUAAAACCCAUGUCCAUGCCUGCGUCUCGUCAUCUUGUUCUAUUUCUUCAUCCUCUUCAAUUUUGCAGAUAGUUUCAAAGCUUUAGUUUUUUCUCAUUUCCAAAGAUUUUAGCUAGAACUAGCUAGCUAGGGUAUUAUGGUCAUGUUGGGUAAUUAUAAUCAUAUUCCACAGGGGCAGCAUUGUAAUUUACAAAGUAUGGAGGCUGAUGUUUCUGAUCUGUAAAGUUAACUAGUGGAUCAGUGAGCUCAUUUUCCCAUCUGCGCUAUACAAUGAACGAACGUAUAGAGGAGAAGAAAAGAGAAUAUAAGUUUAGGCUCAUCUGCCUUGUAUGUAUCCAGCUACUCUCUCUAUCUCUAUCUCUAUCUCUAUCUCUCUCUCUCUCUCUCUCUCUCACUCUCAAAAGUUGUAAACCCAAAGAGUAACACAAGACACAAACAAAUGUACGACUGACCGGGGCCUGAAGAAAGAAAUGUAUGCAUGUAGGAUACAGGAAAAGCAAAAGUGUUUUCUGCAGCAGGGAGGAUUAUCAUAAUGCUAUUAGCUGGGAGUCUGGGAAUCUGGGAAUCUCAUACAUACUGCAAGCACUGGUGACUGGACCACUUAUCUCUCCUCCUCCCCUCUCUCUUGUGAAAAUAUAUAGCCUUAAGGGGGAUGGGUUUUUAUUUACUUUUAAAAAUGGAAGUGUUGUGGGGCCUACACCACAUUGAACUUUAACGAUUUAAACCAUUUAUUUUU
Long non-coding RNA from Pyrus x bretschneideri (Chinese white pear), 1607 nucleotides. RefSeq lists it as uncharacterized. The record is from RefSeq and is a predicted model, not a curated record. The transcript has 2 exons. Lineage: Eukaryota; Viridiplantae; Streptophyta; Magnoliopsida; Rosales; Rosaceae.